GAUGAACGCUGGCGGCGUGCCUAAUACAUGCAAGUCGAGCGAACAGACGAGGAGCUUGCUCCUCUGACGUUAGCGGCGGACGGGUGAGUAACACGUGGAUAACCUACCUAUAAGACUGGGAUAACUUCGGGAAACCGGAGCUAAUACCGGAUAAUAUAUUGAACCGCAUGGUUCAAUAGUGAAAGACGGUUUUGCUGUCACUUAUAGAUGGAUCCGCGCCGCAUUAGCUAGUUGGUAAGGUAACGGCUUACCAAGGCAACGAUGCGUAGCCGACCUGAGAGGGUGAUAGGCCACACUGGAAAUGGAACACGGUCAAGACUCCUAAGGGAGGCAGCAGUAGGGAAUCUUCCGCAAUGGGCGAAAGCCUGACGGAGCAACGCCGCGUGAGUGAUGAAGGUCUUCGGAUCGUAAAACUCUGUUAUUAGGGAAGAACAAAUGUGUAAGUAACUAUGCACGUCUUGACGGUACCUAAUCAGAAAGCCACGGCUAACUACGUG
RNAcentral lists this ribosomal RNA (497 nucleotides) under uncultured bacterium. Its description in RNAcentral is "partial 16S ribosomal RNA". It matches the Rfam family "Bacterial small subunit ribosomal RNA", at positions 28 to 507 of the family's 1533-position model. The record is from RNAcentral.